RNAcentral lists this ribosomal RNA (331 nucleotides) under uncultured eukaryote. RNAcentral describes it as "partial 18S ribosomal RNA". It matches the Rfam family "Eukaryotic small subunit ribosomal RNA", at positions 1470 to 1796 of the family's 1831-position model. The record is from RNAcentral.
CCCUUAGAUGUUCUGGGCCGCACGCGCGCUACACUGACGAAGUCAGCGAGCAUGUCCUACGCCGACAGGUGCGGGGAAUCUUGUCAAACUUCGUCGUGAUGGGGAUUGAUUUUUGAAAUUCUUGAUCAUAAACGAGGAAUUCCUAGUAAGCGCAAGUCAGCAGCUUGCGUUGAUUACGUCCCUGCCCUUUGUACACACCGCCCGUCGCCACUACCGAUUGAAUGGUUUAGUGAGAUCUUCGGAUUGGCGCCACUGCAGCUCAGCAAUGGGCUUGGUGGAUGCCGAAAAGUUGAUCAAACUUGAUCAUUUAGAGGAAGUAAAAGUCGUAACA